RNAcentral lists this ribosomal RNA (373 nucleotides) under uncultured bacterium. Its description in RNAcentral is "bacterial SSU rRNA". It matches the Rfam family "Bacterial small subunit ribosomal RNA", at positions 525 to 896 of the family's 1533-position model. The record is from RNAcentral.
ACGGAGGGUGCGAGCGUUGUCCGGAAUCAUUGGGCGUAAAGGGCGCGUAGGUGGCGGGACAAGCGUGCGGUGAAAGCUCGGGGCUCAACCCCGAGUCGGCCGUGCGAACUGUUUUGCUGGAGCACUGUAGAGGCAGGCGGAAUUCCGGGUGUAGCGGUGGAAUGCGUAGAGAUCCGGAAGAACACCGGUGGCGAAGGCGGCCUGCUGGGCAGUUGCUGACACUGAGGCGCGACAGCGUGGGGAGCAAACAGGAUUAGAUACCCUGGUAGUCCACGCCGUAAACGAUGGGCACUAGGCGCUUGGGGGAGCGACCCCCCGAGGGCCGUAGCUAACGCAUUAAGUGCCCCGCCUGGGGAGUACGGCCGCAAGGCUG